AUACGUAGGGUGCGAGCGUUGUCCGGAAUUUCUGGGCGUAAAGAGCUCGUAGGUGGUUUGUCGCGUCGUCUGUGAAAUUCCGGGGCUUAACUCCGGGCGUGCAGGCGAUACGGGCAUAACUUGAGUACUGUAGGGGAGACUGGAAUUCCUGGUGUAGCGGUGAAAUGCGCAGAUAUCAGGAGGAACACCGGUGGCGAAGGGGGGUCUCUGGGCAGUAACUGACGCUGAGGAGCGAAAGCAUGGGUAGCGAACAGGAUUAGAUACCCUGGUAGUCCAUGCCGUAAACGGUGGGCGCUAGGUGUAGGGGUCUUCCACGACUUCUGUGCCGUAGCUAACGCAUUAAGCGCCCCGCCUGGGGAGUACGGCCGCAAGGCUAAAACUCAAAGGAAUUGACGGGG
RNAcentral lists this ribosomal RNA (398 nucleotides) under uncultured bacterium. Its description in RNAcentral is "partial 16S ribosomal RNA". It matches the Rfam family "Bacterial small subunit ribosomal RNA", at positions 523 to 918 of the family's 1533-position model. The record is from RNAcentral.